RNAcentral lists this ribosomal RNA (427 nucleotides) under uncultured Acidobacteriota bacterium. Its description in RNAcentral is "bacterial SSU rRNA". It matches the Rfam family "Bacterial small subunit ribosomal RNA", at positions 958 to 1385 of the family's 1533-position model. The record is from RNAcentral. Lineage: Bacteria; Pseudomonadati; Acidobacteriota.
AACGCGAAGAACCUUACCUGGGCUUGAACCGCACAGGACCAGCUCUAGAAAUAGGGCCUUCCCGCAAGGGACCUGUGUAGAGGUGCUGCAUGGCUGUCGUCAGCUCGUGCCGUGAGGUGUUGGGUUAAGUCCCGCAACGAGCGCAACCCUUACUCAUAGUUGCUACCCGCAAGGGAGAACUCUAUGAGGACUGCUCCGGAUAACGGAGAGGAAGGUGGGGAUGAGGUCAAGUCAGCAUGGCCUUUAUGUCCAGGGCUACACACGUGUUACAAUGCGCGCCACAAUGCGUCGCGAACCCGCGAGGGGGAGCCAAUCGCAAAAAAGCGCGCUCAGUUCGGAUUGCAGUCUGCAACUCGACUGCAUGAAGCUGGAAUCGCUAGUAAUGGCGCAUCAGAACGGCGCCGUGAAUACGUUCCCGGGCCUUGUA